AUUAAUUUUUAAAAUCAAAUAGAUCGAAUUAAAGAUAAUAUAAAGGAAUAGUAUAGCUCGAAUUCUACAUAACUAAGGAUUAGCACAAUCGACCAUCAUGAUCAUAUAAUUUAACUCAAGUUUACUAUCAAGAGAUAAGAUUAAAUAAAUUAGUCAUAUAAAUGUCAAUCCAAUGAGAUGCUCAAGAUCCCAACAUAUACGAAGCACACCCAUUUAAACAAACUCUCAACAAUUGUAAAAUUGAAAGAAAGGACAUAUCAUACCUUGCUAAAUUCAGUUUUACUUCAAGCAUCACAUAAUAUGAACUACUCUUUAUAUCUCAUAGUGCAAG
RNAcentral lists this long non-coding RNA (331 nucleotides) under Erythranthe guttata (spotted monkey flower). Its description in RNAcentral is "long non-coding RNA (EGUT_LNC002867)". The record is from RNAcentral. Lineage: Eukaryota; Viridiplantae; Streptophyta; Magnoliopsida; Lamiales; Phrymaceae.